Molecule: ribosomal RNA, 1588 nt
Filed under: Myzus persicae (green peach aphid)
Lineage: Eukaryota; Metazoa; Arthropoda; Insecta; Hemiptera; Aphididae
Description: SSU rRNA
Rfam family: Eukaryotic small subunit ribosomal RNA
Source: RNAcentral
CCACGCGUCGCGCGGCCGUCGGGGUUCGACGACGGCGGCCGCCUACUCCAAUCUUGCUGCGCGGUGCUCUUCACCGAGUGCCGUCGGCGGGCCGACACGUUUACUUUGAACAAAUUAGAGUGCUCAAAGCAGGCUCAAAUCUGGCGGGGCGGCUUCACGGCCGUCUCGUCAAAAGGCCCUGAAUACUGGUCGCAUGGAAUAAUGGAACAAGACCUCGGUCCCGCGCAUCUCCGCCCUUCGCGGGCGCGCGAAAUCGCCCUCCGGGGCGUUUCCGUGCGCGGGCCGCCGGGCCGCGGGCGCCAGUCGCCCGCGCGUCCCGCCGGGCCGGUUUUCGGGACCGGAGGUAAUGAUCAACAGAGACGGGCGGGGGCAUUCGUACCGAGACGUUAGAGGUGAAAUUCUUGGAUCGUCUCGAGACGAACUGACGCGAAAGCAUUUGCCAAGUACGUUCUCGUAUGAUCAAGAACGAAAGUUAGAGGUUCGAAGGCGAUCAGAUACCGCCCUAGUUCUAACUGUAAACGAUGCCAGCUAGCGAUCCGCCGGCGUUUCAUUAACGACCCGGCGGGCAGCUUCCGGGAAACCGAAGCUUUUCGGUUCCGGGGGAAGUAUGAUUGCAAAGUUGAAACUUAAAGGAAUUGACGGAAGGGCACCACCAGGAGUGGAGCCUGCGGCUUAAUUUGACUCAACACGGGAAACCUCACCAGGCCCGGACACCGGAAAGAUUGACAGAUUGAGAGCUCUUUCUUGAUUCGGUGGGUGGUUGUGCAUGGCCGUUCUUAGUUGGUGGAGCGAUCUGUCUGGUUAAUUCCGAUAACGAACGAGACUCUGUCCUGCUAACUAGGCGGGUAAACCCGGGUCGGCUGUGGGCGCGGCGCUGGCGGUUUCUUCCGUCCGUGUUCGCGUUUUCGUCGGCUCGGCCCGGUAUCCCCGAACGCGUUCGCCCGUCGUCCGCGGCGGUUGUCGGGCGCGGCCGUGCCAUCCGCGUCCUGGCGUGCGGUGGGCGUGCGUCGGCCAGGGUUCAUCCCCUGGUCGGCGUGCGUCUGUCGUACGUCGGGCUCCGUGGUGAAGCGUGCCGCGUUCGCGGCCGUCGCCGGCGGAUUACGAUACGUUACUAGGGCUACCGCCGGCUCCCAGGAGCUUAAACUUUUCUUAGAGGGACAGGUGGCGGACGAAAAUAGCCGCACGAGACUGAGCGAUAACAGGUCUGUGAUGCCCUUUGAUGUUCUGGGCCGCACGCGCGCUACACUGAAGGAAUCAGCGUGUGUUAAAAUUCCUGGGCCGACAGGCUUCCGGAUAACCCGCUGAACCUCCUUCGUGCUUAGGGAUCGUGGCUUGCAAUUUUUCCACGUGAACGAGGAAUUCCCAGUAAGCGCGAGUCAUCAGCUCGCGUUGAUUACGUCCCUGCCCUUUGUACACACCGCCCGUCGCUACUACCGAUUGAACGACCGCAGUGAGGUCUUCGGACUGGACGCGCGUUAUUCGGCCCCCUCGGGGGCUGGGUCGUCGCUCGACCGGGAAGAUUACCGUACUCGGCCGUUUAGAGGAAGUAAAAGUCGUAUCAAGGUUUCCGUAGGUGAACCUGCGGAAG